UAGGUUGUUUCAACUAGCUUCUCUGGUCCA
RNAcentral lists this non-coding RNA (30 nucleotides) under Rattus norvegicus (Norway rat). The record is from RNAcentral. Lineage: Eukaryota; Metazoa; Chordata; Mammalia; Rodentia; Muridae.